GACGAACGCUGGCGGCGUGCUUAACACAUGCAAGUCACGGGGGCUGGAGCAAUCCAGUAACCGGCGAACGGGUGCGUAACACGUGAGCAACCUGCCGUACUCAGGGGGAUAGCCGGCCCAACGGCCGGGUAAUACCGCAUACGAUUCUUCGGGGGAGUCCCCGGGGAAGGAAACCUCUGGGGGAGUACGAGGGGCUCGCGGCCUAUCAGCUAGUUGGUGCGGUAACGGCGCACCAAGGCGACGACGGGUAGCUGGUCNGAGAGGAUGGCCAGCCACAUUGGGACUGAGAGACGGCCCAGACUCCUACGGGAGGCAGCAGUGGGGAAUCUUGCGCAAUGGCCGAAAGGCUGACGCAGCGACGCCGCGUGGGGGAUGAAGCAUUUCGGUGUGUAACCCUGUUGCCCGGACGAACAGCGCUUUCGAGGCGCCUGACGGUACCGGGUGAGGAAGCACCGGCUAACUCCGUGCCAGCA
This 473-nucleotide ribosomal RNA is filed under the name uncultured bacterium. RNAcentral's name for it is "bacterial SSU rRNA". It matches the Rfam family "Bacterial small subunit ribosomal RNA", at positions 28 to 513 of the family's 1533-position model. The record is from RNAcentral.